This 232-nucleotide ribosomal RNA is filed under the name uncultured Bacillus sp. RNAcentral's name for it is "partial 16S ribosomal RNA". It matches the Rfam family "Bacterial small subunit ribosomal RNA", at positions 109 to 334 of the family's 1533-position model. The record is from RNAcentral. Lineage: Bacteria; Bacillati; Bacillota; Bacilli; Caryophanales; Bacillaceae.
AGUAACACGUGGGUAACCUGCCCAUAAGACUGGGAUAACUCCAGGAAACCGGGGCUAAUACCGGAUAAUAUUUUGAACUGCAUGGUUCGAAAUUGAAAGGCGGCUUCGGCUGUCACUUAUGGAUGGACCCGCGUCGCAUUAGCUAGUUGGUGAGGUAACGGCUCACCAAGGCAACGAUGCGUAGCCGACCUGAGAGGGUGAUCGGCCACACUGGGACUGAGACACGGCCCAG